CAUAAUUUUUUUUUUUAAAGAAUCAAACACCUAGAAAAUAAGACUGCAGAAUUGGAGCAAUGCAACAAGAGCAAAUGACUGAUGGUGGUUGAGGGAAGUCUUACUGGAGUCAAAAGUCUGAGAAAAAUGAAUGCAUGCAUUGGCCAAGAAGCAGUCAAGUAUUAAAGGGAUAGUCUAAGACUGGCUGAAAGAGGCUUGAUAUAGUCCAGAUAUAUUGACUCCGUCCAGAUAUAUUGACCCAAGCUCAGAUAUACAGAAUAAUUAAAGAGGACCUCAUCUAGGAAAAACAGUCUUCCAGAUUGUGAGUUACACUAUGGAGAGACCCAUGUGACAAAGAACUGAUAAUUCUGUCUGAUAGCCAGUGAGGACCUGGGGUAUGACAGCAGCCAUCUGAGUGAAGCUGGAAGUGCAUUGUUGAGACUUCCCAAAAAGACUGAGCUUGGAAAUAGAUUCUUCUCCAGUUGAGCCUCGAGUUGACUGCAGUCCCUGCCAAUACCUUGGUUGUAGCCUUGUAGGAUACCUUGAAUCAAAGGUAUCCAGCUAAGCUGUGCCCAGAUUUCUGACCUACAGAAAUGGUAAGAUAAUAAAUAUUUUGUUUUGUGUUGCUAAGCUUUAGGGGUAAAUAGAUAAACAGCAAUGGAUAACUAAUGCAUCUUCCUUCAUUGUUUACAUUCAAAUGUAUAUAUCUGACCUAAGGAGAAAACAUUUUAAGGUAUGGUGGAUAUAAGAACUAAUGUGAACACUAUGGGAGUCCUCGAAAAAUUAAACACAGAAUCACCGCAGGACUCAACAAUUCCACUUUUGGGUAUAUCCUCAAAAGAAUUGAAAACAGGGACUCAAACAGAUAUUUGUCACUCAUAGAAGCAUAUUCACAAUAGUCAAAAGGUAGAAAUAACCCAUAUGCCCAUUGACAGAUGAAUGGAUAAAAAAAUGUGGUGUAUACACACACACACACACACACACACACACACACACACACAAAGGAAUAUUAUUCAGCCUUAAAAAGGAAGAAAAUUCUGACGUAUGCUACAACAUUGAUAAAACUGGAAGAUAUUGGACUAAGUGAAAUAAUCACACAAAUACUGUAUGACUCCAUUUACAUGUUGUACCUAGAGUAGUCAAAUUCAUAGAGACAUAAAGUAUAAUGAUGGCUGUCAGGGGCUGGGAAGAAGGGGAAUGGGGAAUUACUGUUUCAUAGUUAUGGAGUUUUAGUUGGGGAAGAUGCUAAGAAUUCUAGAAAUGGGUGAUAGUGAUGAUUGCAUGACAAUGUGAAUGUACUUAAUGUCACUGAACUGUACACUUAAAAUAAUUAAAAUGAUAAAUUUUAUGUUAUGUACAUUUACCACAGUAGAAAAAUAAAAUAAAAUAAGAACAAACAGAAAACAAUGGACAAAGAAAGAACUAUGUAAAGGAAAACCCUCCCUUCACUCCUAUACUUUU
Molecule: long non-coding RNA, 1440 nt
Organism: Panthera uncia (snow leopard)
Lineage: Eukaryota; Metazoa; Chordata; Mammalia; Carnivora; Felidae
Exons: 3
Source: RefSeq, a predicted model, not a curated record